AUACGGAGGGUGCAAGCGUUGUUCGGAAUUACUGGGCGUAAAGCGCGAGUAGGUGGUCUGUUAUGUCAGAUGUGAAAGUCCACGGCUCAACCGUGGAAGUGCAUUUGAAACUGGCAGACUUGAGUACUGGAGGGGGUAGUGGAAUUCCCGGUGUAGAGGUGAAAUUCGUAGAUAUCGGGAGGAAUACCGGUGGCGAAGGCGACUACCUGGCCAGAUACUGACACUGAGGUGCGAAAGCGUGGGGAGCGAACAGGAUUAGAAACCCCAGUAGUCC
This 274-nucleotide ribosomal RNA is filed under the name uncultured bacterium. RNAcentral's name for it is "partial 16S ribosomal RNA". It matches the Rfam family "Bacterial small subunit ribosomal RNA", at positions 523 to 796 of the family's 1533-position model. The record is from RNAcentral.